This 71-nucleotide transfer RNA is filed under the name Bos taurus (domestic cattle). It matches the Rfam family "tRNA". From Rfam's summary of the family: Transfer RNA (tRNA) molecules are approximately 80 nucleotides in length. Their secondary structure includes four short double-helical elements and three loops (D, anti-codon, and T loops). RNAcentral also lists the same sequence under 3 other names. Lineage: Eukaryota; Metazoa; Chordata; Mammalia; Artiodactyla; Bovidae. The record is from Rfam by way of RNAcentral.
UCCCUGGUGGCUCAGAGGGUAAAGCGUCUGCUGCAAUGCAGGAGACCCAGGUUUGAUCCCUGGGUUGGGAA